This 467-nucleotide small RNA is filed under the name Pan troglodytes (chimpanzee). Its description in RNAcentral is "processed transcript". Lineage: Eukaryota; Metazoa; Chordata; Mammalia; Primates; Hominidae. The record is from RNAcentral.
AGCGUCCUAGAGACGCCGAAUGGGCAGCCCCUCUGAGACCCCGCGGCUUGGGGUCCGCGCACGCGGGUGCCGGCCCAGCUAGGCGGAGAAUCGAGGAGGGGUCCCCGGGCUCAUCACAGAGGAUUGGAAGGGCCUAGAUUACUGCCCAAUGACAAAAGUGCGGGCUUAAUGUCCUCACUCUUCAGGGAGAGAAUGUGGACUUUAGCAUUUGAACUGAAUAUUUGAGAUUGAAGAUUUCUGAAUACAUUCCCAAAGUCAGAAAUAUUUUAUCUUGAAGGGCAUGAAACGAAAUAGCACCAAAACAAAUGCUCCCAAAGGCAGCAGCACCCUCUCAGGCAGUACCAAAGCCAGGGAUUUAAUGUGCAAAAUGGCGAUUAUACCGGACUGGCUUAGGUCGCAUCCUCACACACGAAAAUUUACACAUUCAAGACCCCAUUCUUCACCGUGUAGAGUAUAUUCAAGGAAUG